Molecule: long non-coding RNA, 1155 nt
Organism: Labeo rohita (rohu)
Lineage: Eukaryota; Metazoa; Chordata; Actinopteri; Cypriniformes; Cyprinidae
Exons: 3
Source: RefSeq, a predicted model, not a curated record
AAUAGCUGGGUUAUUUUUUUAACCCAAUAGAUGGGUUACACAUAUUGGGUCACUGUGUUGGGUUAUUUUCUAAAACGUUGGGUUAUUUUUUAAACAUCGUUGGGUUGUUUUUAAUAAUAACCCAGCGUUGGGUUUAAUUGGUUCCCGCGGCGACAGUUCAAAUUUUAACGGACGACGGUGACUGACAACAGAAGAAGCUGCUGCUGCAUCAGUAUGAGAUCAGUGGUUUAUACUUAUUUUUAGACAUUGGGUUCUUCAGUGAAGGGAAAACUACAACAGUGGAAUCUCAUACAUUAAACAUACACAUGCCAAUUAACUGAAAUAUUUCAAGAGGAAGGAGUCAAUGAAGGAAGUUUUAUGCGACCGGAUGACACCAGCAUUGCUGCACUAACUCCAAGAACUCCUCCCAAGUUUUUAGCAUUUUCAACGGUGAAGCAGUGGAACAGAAGACCUUACUACAAGCAGUGGAUCUGUGUUUCAAACAUUUCUACAUGUAUGACAUCAACUACCCAAAGCUCCUCUGCACCCAUUUGCAGCACACUGUCUUUAAUAUUCCAGGAGUUCUUUCAACACAUUACCUCUUCCUUAGAAACUUUGUAUUUAUUGAUCUGUAAAACUUUUUAUGUUGCUGAUUAUCAGCAAGUCCAGCAGCCAGCAGAUUUACUUUGUUUUAUUAUUAUUAUUAUUACUUGUGUUUAUGAUUUUUUAUUUUUGUUUUAUUGAUAAAGGUUUGUAUGUUAUGUUUGUUUUAUUUGUGCACAUUUGUGUAUGUGUUGAUAUAAAUAAAUAUGAAUUGAUACACAUUUAUGACCCUGGACAACAAAACCGGUCAUAAGUAUCAUGGGUACAUUUGUAGAAAUAGCCAAAAUUGCAUUGUAUGGGUCAAAAUGAUCAAAUUUUCUUUCAUGCCAAAAAUCAUUAGAAUAUUAAGUAAAGAUCAUGUUCCAUGAAGAUAUUUUGUAAAUCUCAUAGGUAUAUCGAAACUGAAUUUCUUAUUAGUAAUGUAUUGCUAAUAACUUCAUUUGGACAACUUUAAAGACAAUUUUCUCAAUAUUUAGAUUUUUUUGCACCCUCAGAUUCCAGAUUUUCAAAUAGUUGUUCUAUCCUAUCAAACCACAUAUUAAUAGAAAGCUUAUUUAUUGAGCUUUCAGAUGA